RNAcentral lists this transfer RNA (74 nucleotides) under Portunus trituberculatus (swimming crab). RNAcentral's name for it is "tRNA-Gly". It matches the Rfam family "tRNA". Rfam says of the family: Transfer RNA (tRNA) molecules are approximately 80 nucleotides in length. Their secondary structure includes four short double-helical elements and three loops (D, anti-codon, and T loops). Lineage: Eukaryota; Metazoa; Arthropoda; Malacostraca; Decapoda; Portunidae. The record is from RNAcentral.
CACCCGGUAGCUCAGUGGUUAGAGCGCUAGCUUCCCAAGCCAGAGGACUGGGGUUCGAUUCCCCGGCCGGGUGG